Molecule: ribosomal RNA, 346 nt
Filed under: uncultured bacterium
Lineage: Bacteria
Description: partial 16S ribosomal RNA
Rfam family: Bacterial small subunit ribosomal RNA
Source: RNAcentral
CCUACGGGAGGCAGCAGUGGGGAAUAUUGCACAAUGGGGGAAACCCUGAUGCAGCGACGCCGCGUGAGUGAAGAAGUAUUUCGGUAUGUAAAGCUCUAUCAGCAGGGAAGAAAAUGACGGUACGUGAUUAAGAAGCCCCGGCUAACUACGGGCCAGCAGCCGCGGGCAUACGUAGGGGGCAAGCGUUAUACGGAUUUACGGGGUGUAAAGGGAGAGUAGACGGGAGCACAAGUCUGGAGUGAAAUGCCGGGGCUUAACCCCGGAACUGCUUUUGAAACUGUGCAGCUAGAGUGCGGGAGAUGUAAGUGGCAUUCCUUGUGUAGCGGUGACAUGCGUAGAUAUUAGG